AAAGGUUACAUGUGAUUUGAAUAUUCAAAAAGUGCAAAAAUCACCAAACAUCUCUAUCAUAUGUGCACAACAUCUCCCAAACAUGUAUUCACACAGUUACCACAUCUCACAAUCUUAUAUGACCUUUCUGGCUCAGUAGCUUCAGCAGACGAUGCUCCUCUCCUUAUAACAUGCUUCUUCUUCAUAAUACUAACAUGUCACAAUGAAAACAGAAUUAGUAAAUUAUGCAAACAAAGAAUAAAUUACAUGUAUAAUACAGCAUAACAACUACAGUUAUUUCAAGAAAAAGUUACUUUGUUUGCAUAUAAGUAGUACAUUUGCUCGAGGUAAUAAUUUUAUUUUGUAGCACAUAAAUAUUACGUUUUUAGUACAUAAAUAUUACUUUUUCAGUACAUAAGUAUUACUUUCAAAUUAUUUAAGUACAUGUAAAACUGUUAACAAUUUCAAAUAUUAAAUCCAUAUAUCAAUAUUACUUUUCUUACUCGUAUUACUUAUUUUCAUCCAAUAGAACAUAUACAUGUCACUAGUCCAAGGCAUACUAUUAGCAAUACAUAUAUAAAAUGAUUGUAUACAAAUAUUAUAUGUGUCCAGAAUAAACUAUACAAUUAUACGCAUGAAUAUAUACUUUCAGAAUUCCAAUAACAUAAUCAGAUAUAAUCACAAACCACACCAGAUAUAAUCACAAAUCACACCACAUAUAACCAAAAACAAACAUAUCUAACCAGUUAUAAUCAAGAACCACACAAAAUACAAUUACAAAUCAUGAGAACAAAGAAACAACUAAACAAAAAAACCAGGAAAAACCCUAAUAACAUUGACGACAACGAAAUAACGACAGAUCUGAAGCAAGUCGAUUGUCGUAUACUUCAAAAAUGACAGAUCUGAAGAAAAUCGAACAAUAAGGUCACAUAGAACUAAAAAAACCCUAAUACCUUGAACACAAAGGAGAAUCGUUCCUUCACACCAGUGGGCAGACAAAUCAUACAAGAAAACGGAUGGGAAUCGUUCGGUGAAGAUAAAAGACUUGAGCGACAAAAAUUUUCCCAGUAGGGUGGAUCUGAAAUGCA
Molecule: long non-coding RNA, 1067 nt
Filed under: Salvia miltiorrhiza (redroot sage)
Lineage: Eukaryota; Viridiplantae; Streptophyta; Magnoliopsida; Lamiales; Lamiaceae
Description: long non-coding RNA (SMIL_LNC005755)
Source: RNAcentral